GUCCCCUAGCGCAAUGGGUAGCGCGUUGGACUUUUAAUCCAAAGGUCGUGGGUUCCAAUACCACCUGUGAUG
Molecule: transfer RNA, 72 nt
Filed under: Trichonephila inaurata madagascariensis
Lineage: Eukaryota; Metazoa; Arthropoda; Arachnida; Araneae; Nephilidae
Description: tRNA-Lys
Rfam family: tRNA (bases 7-64)
About the family: Transfer RNA (tRNA) molecules are approximately 80 nucleotides in length. Their secondary structure includes four short double-helical elements and three loops (D, anti-codon, and T loops).
Source: RNAcentral